GCCUAGUUAGCUUAGUUGGUAGUGCGUCUGCCUUGUAAGCGCUAGGCCGCAGGUUCAAUUCCCGCCUGGGGCG
RNAcentral lists this transfer RNA (73 nucleotides) under Diaphorina citri (Asian citrus psyllid). It matches the Rfam family "tRNA". From Rfam's summary of the family: Transfer RNA (tRNA) molecules are approximately 80 nucleotides in length. Their secondary structure includes four short double-helical elements and three loops (D, anti-codon, and T loops). The record is from Rfam by way of RNAcentral. Lineage: Eukaryota; Metazoa; Arthropoda; Insecta; Hemiptera; Psyllidae.